AGAGUUUGAUCCUGGCUCAGAUUGAACGCUGGCGGCGUGCUUAAUACAUGCAAGUCGAGCGGUAACAGGUGUAGCAAUACAUGCUGACGAGCGGCGAACGGGUGAGUAAUGCUUCGGAACCUGCCUAGUAGUGGGGAAUAACUAACCGAAAGGUUAGCUAAUGCCGCAUACGACCUAUGGGUGAAAGCGGGGGAUCGUAAGACCUCGCGCUAUUAGAUGAGCCGAAGUCGGAUUAGCUAGUUGGUGAGGUAACGGCUCACCAAGGCGACAAUCCGUAGCUGGUCUGAGAGGACGACCAGCCACACUGGGACUGAGACACGGCCCAGACUCCUACGGGAGGCAGCAGUAGGGAAUAUUGGACAAUGGGGGCAACCCUGAUCCAGCGACGCCGCGUGUGUGAAGAAGGCCUGCGGGUUG
Molecule: ribosomal RNA, 417 nt
Filed under: uncultured bacterium
Lineage: Bacteria
Description: bacterial SSU rRNA
Rfam family: Bacterial small subunit ribosomal RNA
Source: RNAcentral